GGCCCUUGCGCUAUCAGAUGAGCCUAGGUGGGAUUAGCUAGUNGGUGNGGUAAUGGCUCNCCAAGGNGACGAUCNGUAACUGGUCUGAGAGGAUGCUCACCGUCACACUGGAUCUGAGACACGGUCCAGACUCCCUACGGGAGGCACGCAGUGGGGAAUAUUGGCACAAUGGGCGAAAGCCUGAUCCAGCCAUGCCGCGUGUGUGAAGAAGGUCUUCGGAUUGUAAAGCACUUUAAGUUGGGAGGAAGGGCAGUUACCUAAUACUGUAUCUGUUUUGACGAGACCGACCAGAAUUA
Molecule: ribosomal RNA, 296 nt
Filed under: uncultured bacterium
Lineage: Bacteria
Description: partial 16S ribosomal RNA
Rfam family: Bacterial small subunit ribosomal RNA
Source: RNAcentral